RNAcentral lists this ribosomal RNA (502 nucleotides) under uncultured bacterium. RNAcentral's name for it is "bacterial SSU rRNA". It matches the Rfam family "Bacterial small subunit ribosomal RNA", at positions 32 to 509 of the family's 1533-position model. The record is from RNAcentral.
AAUCAACGCUGGCGGCGUGCCUAACACAUGCAAGUCGCGCGCGAAAGGGGGGCAACCCCCGAGUAAAGCGGCGAACGGGUGAGUAACACGUGGGUAAUCUACCUUCGAGUGGGGAACAACAUCGGGAAACUGGUGCUAAUUCCGCAUGACAUCGUCGGGGCUUCGGUUCCGACGCUCAAAGCUGGGGAUCGUAAGACCUAGCGCUUGAAGAUGAGCCCGCGUCCGAUUAGCUAGUUGGCGGGGUAAUAGCCCACCAAGCUCCGAUCGGUAGCCGGCCUGAGAGGGGCGGACGGCCACACUGGAACUGAGACACGGUCCAGACUCCUACGGGAGGCAGCAGUGGGGAAUUUUUCGCAAUGGGGGCAACCCUGACGAAGCAACGCCGCGUGGGGAUGAAGGUCUUCGGAUUGUAAACCCCUGUCGACCGGGACGAAUGUAGAACGGCCUAAUACGCCGAGCUAUUGACUGUACCGGUGGAGGAAGCCACGGCUAACUCUGUGCC